AUGCUCACUUUGGCAGAACGUAUACUAAAGUUGGGACAAUACAAAGAAAAUUAGCAUGGCCCCUGCGCAAGGAUGAUAUGCAAAUUUGCAAAAUGUUCCUUUUUUUU
This 107-nucleotide small nuclear RNA is filed under the name Carlito syrichta (Philippine tarsier). Lineage: Eukaryota; Metazoa; Chordata; Mammalia; Primates; Tarsiidae. The record is from RNAcentral.